Molecule: ribosomal RNA, 485 nt
Filed under: uncultured bacterium
Lineage: Bacteria
Description: bacterial SSU rRNA
Rfam family: Bacterial small subunit ribosomal RNA
Source: RNAcentral
CUACGUGCCAGCAGCCGCGGUAAUACGUAGGGUGCGAGCGUUAAUCGGAAUUACUGGGCGUAAAGCGGGCGCAGACGGUUACUUAAGCAGGAUGUGAAAUCCCCGGGCUCAACCUGGGAACUGCGUUCUGAACUGGGUGACUAGAGUGUGUCAGAGGGAGGUAGAAUUCCACGUGUAGCAGUGAAAUGCGUAGAUAUAUGGAGGAACACCAGUAGCGAAGGCGGCUUUCUGGACUGCAACUGACACUGAGGCACGAAAGCGUGGGUAGCAAACAGGAUUAGAUACCCUGGUAGUCCACGCUGUAAACGAUGAGUACUAGGUGUCGGGGGUUACCCCCCUCGGUGCCGCAGCUAACGCAUUAAGUACUCCGCCUGGGGAGUACGCACGCAAGUGUGAAACUCAAAGGAAUUGACGGGGACCCGCACAAGUAGCGGAGCAUGUGGUUUAAUUCGAAGCAACGCGAAGAACCUUACCUAAGCUUGACA